This 424-nucleotide long non-coding RNA is filed under the name Callithrix jacchus (white-tufted-ear marmoset). RNAcentral describes it as "lncRNA (ENSCJAG00000087065.1)". The record is from RNAcentral. Lineage: Eukaryota; Metazoa; Chordata; Mammalia; Primates; Cebidae.
CUGGCUUCAAUUUCCUGGUUUGUAUCAUGGAUAUAACAACAUAUAUUUUAUUAUGUGAUUAACUAUGUGUACAUGUCUCAUUCAGUGCCUGGCUUAGAGAAAGUGAUCUAUUCAUUUAUUAACUUUUAUCUUUUCUUGAUUUUGAAUGCAGAAGGUAGAGCCUGGAGAGUGUGACUAUAUUAACAUCAUGGAGAAAACGAUUUAUACAAAAUACCUUGUGGAUCAGCAUCUGCAUAAGAAAACACUUACAAUGCUUGAAAAUCAAGAUACCGUAUGAGCAUGAGGAGGAGAAGGAUGCAGAGGAAAAAGAGUCAAUGCUGUAGACCCUCAUAGUUAGUAUCUACCGACAUGAAGAUGGAUAAUCAGGAAGCGGUAAGGGUGGUGACAUCAUUUGCCUCCAUGUCUGUCUUAAUGGGUAACUGUG